This 253-nucleotide ribosomal RNA is filed under the name uncultured bacterium. RNAcentral describes it as "partial 16S ribosomal RNA". It matches the Rfam family "Bacterial small subunit ribosomal RNA", at positions 524 to 776 of the family's 1533-position model. The record is from RNAcentral.
UACGUAGGGUGCGAGCGUUGUCCGGAAUUAUUGGGCGUAAAGGGCUCGUAGGCGGUUUGUCGCGUCGGGAGUGAAAACGCUGGGCUUAACUCAGUGCUUGCUUCCGAUACGGGCAGACUAGAGGUAUUCAGGGGAGAACGGAAUUCCUGGUGUAGCGGUGAAAUGCGCAGAUAUCAGGAGGAACACCGGUGGCGAAGGCGGUUCUCUGGGAAUGUCCUGACGCUGAGGAGCGAAAGUGUGGGGAGCGAACAGG